GCACCGCGAGGCCGGGACACUGGGGGUGGAGGCGGCGGCGGCGAUCCGGAGUCUCCGCCUCGGCAGCGGCUGCGACCGCCGCGGUCUCACCCCAGAAGGCCCCUGCGCCCCACUAGCCAUCCGUGUCCCCCGUGCGGCUGAGGAGGCGGCGGCGGCGGCGAGAGCCGACGGGACGAGGGCGCCAGAGGAGCGGCGGCUCGGAGCGGCAAUGACAUUCCCCCUCACGCCCGCCCCGCCGUGAGGAGCACAAAGGGGGAGGAGCCCCCUGGAGUCCAGGCGGAGCUCAAGCAACCCUUAACUCCGCCCCCUCGCCCAACAGGAACUGGCCCCUCCGCCUGUCACAGAGCGACAGAUGUUCCCUGUUGGGUUUGACGUUAUCUUCUGCUUCCUCUUGGCUGUUUAAUGGCUGGAGGCCUGGUCUGAAAAACAAAAAGACCAGACACCAAUGAAGACAAGUAGUCCAGGUGACCCAGCCUCUCAGAAUGCCUCUGUGUCAGUUUCCUCAAAUUUCUGCAUCCAGAGUAUCUUCAAAGCUGGUGGUUGAGAUGGUCCAGACUCACAGACUCCUCUCAACAGGUCUUCAGAGAAGCCUUGCACUUUCCCAUUGCACAGAGACUGGACAACAAAUGAUACAGCUAGCUCUCCUAGGUCUUGAUCAUUAUCCCAGUUUUCUCAGGGGCACCUAAAGAUGCCAUCACCCCCAGACAACAGAAAAUAGUCUAGAGAAUACAAUGUCCACAUUCUCAAGAGGUGGGGUGAGUGGUUUUUGAUCAUUUGGUGUGUUAUGGAUGUUUGUCAUCAUUUAGGGGGAUUAGUUACAAGUUGUUAUUGGUCAUGGUCAGCAAAAAAGCUAAACAAAGGAGUUUAGAUUCAAUGAUCUCUCUCUGGAGGGAAAAAGGGGGACUAGUAUAGAAUGAUGGGAUAAGAGGAUGGAUUGUCAAGUCUACUUUUGAACAACCACUAGUCUCAAAUAUUUUAUAUUGGUGUGGAUUUUUAUAUAUUGAUACAAAUUUAAGGUUAUUUUUGUUAUAUUGUAUCUAUGUUUUUACUCUUGUUUUAACAUAUUGUGCCUAUGCAACUCAUUUUAAAAUAUAAUGCAUAAUUUAGAAAUACAGGCUAGAAGUUAGUCAUUUAUGAUAAUCAAACUUGUAGUCAUGUUAGGUAUGUUUUCAGGGUCAAACAGAGAUAUAUUUAAAUAGAUAGAUUGUCUUCAAACACUUCAAAGAUCUACAGAAUAUGGCAUUUAAAAUGUAAAAUAACAUAAGGCUUUUCAUGAUAGUGAGACACAUUUGUUCCUGGUAGCACCAAUUUACUUCAAAAAAGGAUGAUAGGCAUGGAAAAACCUCCAUAUGGAGUUUGCUUUCAAUGUGGCAAAGUUAGCUACUUGGCAAGAAACUGCCCUUGCCUCGACUGCUGAUAGUAUGGUGUCCAAAAUGGACAAGCAGGACACAAAAGAAAACAACUGCCGAACUUUGCCAUGACAAGGUAGGAUAGUCCUGAUUCACAAAAAAGUCCAUCAGAUAUUCUAGACCAGUAGGCCAAAGAUGGAUGCCCCAAUGUUGCAGAGAAACCUUGGGUGACAGUCCAAGCAGCUAGAUGUCUGUCAUUUCUAUAGUUUUGGAAAUUGUUUACACUGCAUUUCCUGCUUAAUCAGGUAAUAUUAUAUCCUUCUCAGGUCUCUGAAGGGGUUGAAGAUUAGAUAGUUAUAGUUACAGUUUGAUAGAAAGUAAAUAAGGUACAAAACUUUGGAUUCACUAAAGUAAGAUAGAUAAUGGAGUAUUUACUCUGAAUUUUCCAAAUACUAAUAGAAUGGACAUUGUGAAUGUAUUUUUUACUUGCUAAUUGUUCUUAUUGUAUUUAGUUUUACUGUGUUAGUGUUAAAACCUUCCCUUUUUAUUUAGACAAAAGGGGAAAAUGUUGUGGGAUAUCUGUACAUAUGAAGAUGUAUUGCUGUGAUUGGUGUAAUAAAAAGCUGAACGGCCAAUAGCUAGACAGGAGAGAUAGGUGGGACUUCUAGGUAAAGAGAGAAUGCUGGGAAGAAGGCAGAGUCACCAGCUGGACACAAAGGAAGCAGGACAUGGGAGGAAAGGUAAAGCCAUUAGCCACAUGACAGCACACAGAUUAAUAGAAUGGAUUAAUUUAAGUUAUAAGAGCUCGCUAGAAACAAGCCUAAUCUAAGGCUGAGCUUUCAUAAUUAAUAAAAAGUUUCCAUGUCAUUGUUUGAGAGCUGGUGGCUCAUGAAAAAGCUUACUACAGUUCUUCUGUGUAAGAUGCUUUCAAUUGGCUGGCCAGGGCUCUAGUGUUCUACCCAGACAAAACAAAACCAAACCUGGAUAUGCAAGUAGACAUUCAAGUGCUGCAUUUGGCAGAUUCUGUGCCACUUUCUGCUGCUUUGUGAACAGCAGCAGCAACAGCAGGAGGAGGAGGAGCAGGAGGAGCUAGAGGAGCAGGAACAAUAGGAGGAGGAGCUAGAGGAAGAAGAGCAAGAUGAGGAAGAGCUGGAGGAGGAGGAACAAGAGGAGGAGGAGCAAGAGCAGAAACAAGAGGAUGAAGAGCUGGAGGAAGAAGAACAAGAUGAGGAGGAGCUGGAGGAGGAGGGGCUGCAGGAAGCGGAGCAAGAGGAGGUGGAGGAGCUGGAAGAGCAAGAGGAGGAGGAAGAGGAGGAGCUGGAGAAGAGGAACAAGAAGAGGAGGAAGGGCAGGAGGAGAAAGAGGGGCAGGAAGAGGAGGCAGGUGCUACAGAGGUGGUACACUUCAGUAUUCCAGUUCUCAGGAAGGCCUCAGGCACUGAAACUCUCAGCUUGCAGGUGUUAUAUAGAAGUCAGGGUUCCUUAGCAUUGACAAGAGCUGGUAUUUCAGAUCCCAACAGGCUUGCUAUCAAGAUUCCUCAUUCUAGAGCUACAGCUUGUGUGUUUGUAUCUGGGACCCUUUUCCCCAAAGGAUGACAGCAACCUGGAAUUCCUGGCUCCUUGCAGCCUUUGGUUCUUCUUCAGCCUUCACGCUCUGUCUUCUCUACUUCCAUCCUUGUCUCUGCCUGACUGUUCUCUCAAACUAUUAUAACAGAGGGAGGGGUAUGUUGGUAUGUGCACAUAAGCAAAGGUACACACAGAGGCCAGAAGAGGGUAUCAAAUUCUCUGGAGCUGCUAGACAUUGGUUCUGGGAACCACACUGGUCCUCUGGAAGAGCGUCAAGUGCUCCUAACCCCUGAGCCAUCUCUUCAGCUCUCACCCCUAUUUUAAAAAUAACUGAGUGGUCUGUGUUCGUCGGGGUUUGCUGUAGUGGACAGCUGUUCUGUCUAUAACCUUGAAGCACUACCCCUAGAGAUGCAGCAGGUAACUGCUCCACCAGCCUAUGACCUUGAAUUCCUUCCCCUGAGGCGUGGGCUCUCGGUGACCCUUAACAUGUCCAAGUAGCAAACAGGAGCAAGGAAACAGAGGAGACAUUUGAAAAAGACUUGCCUUUUCUGUUCUUAAAGCUGAGUCCAGCUGAUAUCAGCUGAGCUCAACAGAAUUUCAAACUACUCAUCCCACCAAACCACAACAGAAAAAAAAAAAGAAACACUCGCUGUGAUGUUACUAAGUUCUAGCGUUGGUGUUGUUUCUUAUGCAGCACUGUUGUAUCAGUAGCUGACUCGUGCAUUGUUAUUAGAAGGAAAUGCCAGGAGUCCAAUCGACGAGAGAGAGGAGGGAUUAUAUGAGCAAGAGAUAUCGAGACCAUGACUGAAAAAAGCAUAGGGACAAAUAGCCAAACUAGUGGAAACGCAUGAACUGUGAACCAAUAGCUGAGGAGCCCCCAUGGAACUGGACCAGGCCCUCUGGAUAAGUGAGACAGUUGAUUAGCUUGAACUGUUUAGGAGUCCCCCAGGCAGUGGAGCCGGGACCUGUCCUUGGUGCAUGAGCUGGCUUUUUGGAACCUGGGGCCUAUGCUGAGACACUUUGCUCAACCUUGGUGCAGGGAGGAGGGGACUGGACCUGCCUCAACUGAAUCUACCAGGCUGGGCUGACCCCCCCAGGGGAGACCUUGCUUUG
Long non-coding RNA from Peromyscus eremicus (cactus mouse), 4027 nucleotides. RefSeq lists it as uncharacterized. The record is from RefSeq and is a predicted model, not a curated record. Lineage: Eukaryota; Metazoa; Chordata; Mammalia; Rodentia; Cricetidae. The transcript has 3 exons.